Molecule: long non-coding RNA, 260 nt
Filed under: Olea europaea (common olive)
Lineage: Eukaryota; Viridiplantae; Streptophyta; Magnoliopsida; Lamiales; Oleaceae
Description: long non-coding RNA (OEUR_LNC013890)
Source: RNAcentral
AAAAAUAUGCUUUAAGUGUUUGUACUUCGGAAUUCGAACUCCAUUUCGACUUUCGUAUCAAACGGCCAAAGUAGAAAACGAAUUCCUCGGACGUGACAUUUUCCAGGGAAUUUAAUGCUAUCAAACAGAACCUAAAAGAAUGUCAUUUCCCAUAUGGUGCAUGCCAAAACCACAGUUGAUAAAUGAGCGAAGGACAUCAAGACACUAGAGGAUUUUUGGGCUUAGCACAAAUGGAGACGAACUUCACCAAAGUAACGCCC